RNAcentral lists this unclassified non-coding RNA (232 nucleotides) under fungal sp. RNAcentral's name for it is "partial contains 5.8S ribosomal RNA, internal transcribed spacer 2, and large subunit ribosomal RNA". Lineage: Eukaryota; Fungi. The record is from RNAcentral.
CGCACAUUGCGCCCCUUGGUAUUCCGGGGGGCAUGCCCGUUCGAGCGUCAUUUCACCACUCAAGCCCGGCUUGGUGUUGGGCCCCGGGGGCGACCCGGGCCCGAAAGUCGUCGGCCGAAAUGGUCUGAUCGCAGCGUCGUGGUUAAUCAACUCGCUGGCGAGACGGCCGUUCCGCGCCGGAACACUUCUUCAGGUUGACCUCGGAUCGGGUAGGGAUACCCGCUGAACUUAA